This 106-nucleotide transfer RNA is filed under the name Cronartium quercuum f. sp. fusiforme G11. Its description in RNAcentral is "tRNA-Leu". It matches the Rfam family "tRNA". From Rfam's summary of the family: Transfer RNA (tRNA) molecules are approximately 80 nucleotides in length. Their secondary structure includes four short double-helical elements and three loops (D, anti-codon, and T loops). Lineage: Eukaryota; Fungi; Basidiomycota; Pucciniomycetes; Pucciniales; Coleosporiaceae. The record is from RNAcentral.
GCUGAGAUGUCCGAGCGGUCUAAGGAGCUGGAUUCAAGUGUGAGAACUUGCGCGUUUGUGUUUCCCAGUAGGGCAACCUGCGGGGGUUCGAAUCCCCCUCUCAGCA